Molecule: transfer RNA, 92 nt
Filed under: Ottowia sp.
Lineage: Bacteria; Pseudomonadati; Pseudomonadota; Betaproteobacteria; Burkholderiales; Comamonadaceae
Description: tRNA-Leu
Rfam family: tRNA
About the family: Transfer RNA (tRNA) molecules are approximately 80 nucleotides in length. Their secondary structure includes four short double-helical elements and three loops (D, anti-codon, and T loops).
Source: RNAcentral
GCCCCGGUGGUGAAAUUGGUAGACACAGCGGACUUAAAAUCCGCCGCUGCCCGAAAAGGCGCGUGCCGGUUCAAUCCCGGCCCGGGGUACCA